CCUACGGGUGGCAGCAGUGAGGAAUAUUGGUCAAUGGUCGGGAGACUGAACCAGCCAAGCCGCGUGAGGGAGGAAGGUACAGAGUAUCGUAAACCUCUUUUGUCAGGGAACAAAGACUGGGACGCGUCCCCGGAUGAGUGUACCUGAAGAAAAAGCAUCGGCUAACUCCGUUCCAGCCGCCGCGGUAAUACGGGGGAUGCGAGCGUUAUCCGGAUUUAUGGGGUUUAAGGGGUGCGCAGGCGGUCUGUUAAGUCAGCGGUCAAAGCCCGGGGCUCAACCCCGUCCCGCCGUUGAAACUGGCAGUCUCGAGUUGGAGAGAAGUAUGCGGAAUGCGCGGUGUAGCGGUGAAAUGCAUAGAUAUCGCGCAGAACUCCGAUUGCGAAGGCAGCAUGCCGGCUCCACACUGACGCUGAGGCACGAAAGCGUGGGUAUCGAACAGGAUUAGAUACCCGAGUAGUC
RNAcentral lists this ribosomal RNA (459 nucleotides) under uncultured bacterium. RNAcentral's name for it is "partial 16S ribosomal RNA". It matches the Rfam family "Bacterial small subunit ribosomal RNA", at positions 338 to 795 of the family's 1533-position model. The record is from RNAcentral.